AUGAGCUAAAAGGACAUUUUUCAUGAAAAUAGAACUAAAAAUAACAACAAUAAAAAUAAUGCAGAGAGAUCUAGGAGAAGACAUCCCCGUCUCCCAGGAAUAGCCAUGACAGAGGAAGCCUUCAGAAAGGCGGCUGUAGAAGAGUCUGAGGAACACUGGAAGAUUCUGCGAAUGCCUUUGGAUGAUUCAACAUCCCUUUAACAGAGCUACAACUCCACAGUCAGAAAAGGAGGCUCAAGUCUUGAUCCUGGCAUGUAACAUCCUGUGUCACUCAACCUCUCCGGGACUCAGUUUCCCCACCAGACCUCCGGGCCAUUCCUUGAAAUGCUGGGUUUCCUCUUCUACAGAACAGGGCUCUCUCUUCCACCGCAAGGCACCCUGGUGGGCAUCAGGUGCCGGAACACCUGAUAGGACAUCUGGAAGCUGCACACCUCUCCACGGAUGCUAAUAGGGGUCACGCAAAUGACAUGUUUAGCGAGCCGCUCUCUGCAUCAGAAGACUCGCAGGCUGGGUUCCGAGCAGAAUUGGAGGCUGGGUGGGGGGGCGGUGUGCAACAGAAUGAAGGAGAAGCCCCGCAGCCCCGAGCUGCCCUGCCCUUGCAGGGAUCCCACCAGGAAGGAAGGUUCGUGAAGUGAGGAGAAGAGGAAAGGGAAGAGCUUCUUUCCUCCCAUUCAAGUGGUUUUCUGCUGAGGACAGGUUUCCUCCUGUCCAUGGAGGCCCUGGUAGAGCAGCGACCCCAGAAUUUCGACCCCAGAGCUCCCCGGCCCGACGCCUCAGCCCCCGGUUUCCCCCACAACCCCAGGAAGGAGGCGGCCUCCCAUCAGUAGCAGAAAACUGGGGGUAGAACCUGGGACAUGGUUAUCCUCAGCCUACACGAAUAGCCUUGCUUUUUUUUUUAAGUUGGAAGUACCCAACUUUGAUAAUUGACAGAAAACAGCAACUAUUAAGCAACUAAAAGUCAUCAUUCCUAAAAUAAAAGUUCCUUGAGGUCAA
This is a long non-coding RNA of Lynx canadensis (Canada lynx), 993 nucleotides long. RefSeq lists it as uncharacterized. The transcript is spliced from 3 exons. The record is from RefSeq and is a predicted model, not a curated record. NCBI's taxonomy places the organism in Eukaryota, Metazoa, Chordata, Mammalia, Carnivora, Felidae.